CCCUUGCGGCGGCCUACCAUGCAGUCGAGCGGAACGAGUUAUCUGAACCUUCGGGGAACGAUAACGGCGUCGAGCGGCGGACGGGUGAGUAAUGCCUAGGAAAUUGCCCUGAUGUGGGGGAUAACCAUUGGAAACGAUGGCUAAUACCGCAUGAUGCCUACGGGCCAAAGAGGGGGACCUUCGGGCCUCUCGCGUCAGGAUAUGCCUAGGUGGGAUUAGCUAGUUGGUGAGGUAAGGGCUCACCAAGGCGACGAUCCCUAGCUGGUCUGAGAGGAUGAUCAGCCACACUGGAACUGAGACACGGUCCAGACUCCUACGGGAGGCAGCAGUGGGGAAUAUUGCACAAUGGGCGCAAGCCUGAUGCAGCCAUGCCGCGUGUGUGAAGAAGGCCUUCGGGUUGUAAAGCACUUUCAGUCGUGAGGAAGGUAGUGUAGUUAAUAGCUGCAUUAUUUGACGUUAGCGACAGAAGAAGCACCGGCUAACUCCGUGCCAGCAGCCGCGGUAAUACGGAGGGUGCGAGCGUUAAUCGGAAUUACUGGGCGUAAAGCGCAUGCAGGUGGUUUGUUAAGUCAGAUGUGAAAGCCCGGGGCUCAACCUCGGAAUAGCAUUUGAAACUGGCAGACUAGAGUACUGUAGAGGGGGGUAGAAUUUCAGGUGUAGCGGUGAAAUGCGUAGAGAUCUGAAGGAAUACCGGUGGCGAAGGCGGCCCCCUGGACAGAUACUGACACUCAGAUGCGAAAGCGUGGGGAGCAAACAGGAUUAGAUACCCUGGUAGUCCACGCCGUAAACGAUGUCUACUUGGAGGUUGUGGCCUUGAGCCGUGGCUUUCGGAGCUAACGCGUUAAGUAGACCGCCUGGGGGAGUACGGUCGCAAGAUUAAACUCAAAUGAAUUGACGGGGGCCCGCACAGCGGUGGAGCAUGUGGUUUAAUUCGAUGCAACGCAAAGAACCUUACCUACUCUUGACAUCCAGAGAACUUUCCAGAGAUUGGAUUGGUGCCUUCGGAACUCUGA
This 1013-nucleotide ribosomal RNA is filed under the name Vibrio neocaledonicus. Its description in RNAcentral is "bacterial SSU rRNA". It matches the Rfam family "Bacterial small subunit ribosomal RNA", at positions 34 to 1032 of the family's 1533-position model. The record is from RNAcentral. Lineage: Bacteria; Pseudomonadati; Pseudomonadota; Gammaproteobacteria; Vibrionales; Vibrionaceae.